UAAUACGUAGGGUGCGAGCGUUGUCCGGAAUUAUUGGGCGUAAAGGGCUCGUAGGCGGUUUGUCGCGUCGGGAGUGAAAACCCAGGGCUUAACCCUGGGCUGGCUUCCGAUACGGGCAGACUAGAGGUAUGCAGGGGAGAACGGAAUUCCUGGUGUAGCGGUGAAAUGCGCAGAUAUCAGGAGGAACACCGGUGGCGAAGGCGGUUCUCUGGGCAUUACCUGACGCUGAGGAGCGAAAGUGUGGGGAGCGAACAGGA
Molecule: ribosomal RNA, 257 nt
Filed under: uncultured prokaryote
Description: partial 16S ribosomal RNA
Rfam family: Bacterial small subunit ribosomal RNA
Source: RNAcentral